UACAGAGGGUGCAAGCGUUAAUCGGAAUUACUGGGCGUAAAGCGUGCGUAGUCGGUUAUUUAAGUCGGGUGUGAAAGCCCCGGGCUCAACCUGGGAAUUGCAUUCGAUACUGGAUAGCUAGAGUUCGGCAGAGGGAAGCGGAAUUUCCGGUGUAGCGGUGAAAUGCGUAGAUAUCGGAAGGAACAUCAGUGGCGAAGGCAGCUCGCUGGGACGUUACUGACACUAAGGCGCGAAAGCGUGGGGAGCGAACAGG
This 253-nucleotide ribosomal RNA is filed under the name uncultured bacterium. Its description in RNAcentral is "partial 16S ribosomal RNA". It matches the Rfam family "Bacterial small subunit ribosomal RNA", at positions 524 to 776 of the family's 1533-position model. The record is from RNAcentral.